RNAcentral lists this ribosomal RNA (460 nucleotides) under uncultured bacterium. Its description in RNAcentral is "partial 16S ribosomal RNA". It matches the Rfam family "Bacterial small subunit ribosomal RNA", at positions 338 to 795 of the family's 1533-position model. The record is from RNAcentral.
CCUACGGGUGGCAGCAGUGAGGAAUAUUGGUCAAUGGCCGGAAGGCUGAACCAGCCAUGCCGCGUGAAGGUCAGUGCCCUAUGGGCGUUAAACUUCUUUUGUGCGGGAGCAAUAAUGGUCACGUGUGGCCAGACGAGAGUACCGUACGAAUAAGCAUCGGCUAACUCCGUGCCAGCAGCCGCGGGAAUACGGGGGUUGCACGCGUUAUCCGGAUUUAUUGGGUUUAAAGUGUGCGUAGGCUGUGAGGUAAGUCAGCGGUGAAAUGGCCCCGCUAAGAGGGGUGAAAUGCCAUUGAUACUUCAUUGCUGGAAUGCGGAUGCCGUGGGAGGAAUGUGUGGUGUAGCGGUGAAAUGCAUAGAUAUCACACAGAACACCGAGUGCGAAGGCAUCUCACGAAUCCGCGAUUGACGCUGAUGCACGAAAGCGUGGGUAUCAAACAGGAUUAGAUACCCCGGUAGUC